This 21-nucleotide small nuclear RNA is filed under the name Arabidopsis thaliana (thale cress). RNAcentral's name for it is "snRNA_16540". The record is from RNAcentral. Lineage: Eukaryota; Viridiplantae; Streptophyta; Magnoliopsida; Brassicales; Brassicaceae.
AGAGACGAUUCUUUGAGUGAG